RNAcentral lists this non-coding RNA (26 nucleotides) under Rattus norvegicus (Norway rat). Lineage: Eukaryota; Metazoa; Chordata; Mammalia; Rodentia; Muridae. The record is from RNAcentral.
UGUUUUUGGGGUCACCCAGCUGGACA